RNAcentral lists this ribosomal RNA (253 nucleotides) under uncultured bacterium. RNAcentral describes it as "partial 16S ribosomal RNA". It matches the Rfam family "Bacterial small subunit ribosomal RNA", at positions 524 to 776 of the family's 1533-position model. The record is from RNAcentral.
UACGGAGGGUGCAAGCGUUAAUCGGAAUUACUGGGCGUAAAGCGUGCGCAGGCGGUGAUGUAAGACAGUUGUGAAAUCCCCGGGCUCAACCCGGGAACUGCUUCUGAUACUGGCGGACUUGAGGCCAGUAGGGGUCACUAGAACUGACGGUGGAGCGGUGAAAUGCGUAGAUAUCGUCAGGAAUGCCGGUGGUGAAGACGGGUGACUGGGCUGGUUCUGACACUGAGGCACGAAAGCGUGGGGAGCGAACGGG